Molecule: ribosomal RNA, 252 nt
Filed under: uncultured bacterium
Lineage: Bacteria
Description: partial 16S ribosomal RNA
Rfam family: Bacterial small subunit ribosomal RNA
Source: RNAcentral
UACGGGGGGGGUAAGCGUUGUUCGGAAUUACUGGGCGUAAGGGCUCGUAGGCGGCCAACUAAGUCAUACGUGAAAUCCCUCAGCUUAACUGGGGAACUGCGUGUGAUACUGGAUGGCUUGGAUUUGGGAGAGGGAUGCGGAAUUCCAGGUGUAGCGGUGAAAUGAGUAGAUAUCUGGAGGAACACCGGUGGCGAAGGCGGCAUCCUGGACCAAUAUUGACGCUGAGGAGCGAAAGCCAGGGGAGCAAACGGG